Patella vulgata (common limpet) is the source of this 523-nucleotide long non-coding RNA. RefSeq lists it as uncharacterized. The transcript is spliced from 4 exons. NCBI's taxonomy places the organism in Eukaryota, Metazoa, Mollusca, Gastropoda, Patellidae. The record is from RefSeq and is a predicted model, not a curated record.
AUGGUGGAACUACAUCUCAAAAUAUCACUGAGAAAGUCACAGAAGCAGCUGCACUUGCUAAAGAAAAUUCUGAAGAAUAUGGCCAAGAUUUCUACACUGUUUUAUUCUUUGAUGAGGCCAAUACUACUGAAGCCAUAGGAUUAAUAAAAGAAAUCAUGUGUGAUGGUACGAUGAAUGGAGAAAUGUUGAAUGUGAAUGGAAAUCUAAAGAUAGUAGCGGCUUGUAAUCCUUACAGGAAGCAUACUAAUGAAAUGAUAAAAAGGUUAGAAAACGCUGGUCUUGGAUAUCAUGUAGAUGCUGAUGCAACACCUGACAAGUUAGGACGUGUACCCAUGAGAAGAUUAGUCUACAGAGUACAACCUUUACCGUCCAGUAUGUUACCACUUGUGUGGGAUUUUGGUCAACUAAAUGUACAAAUUGAAGAACUAUACAUUCAGCAAAUGGCUAAGCGGGCAAUAGAGGAGCACAAACUGCCUAAUAUAUAUAAAUUAGAAAACUCACUUAGUAAAGUAUUAAUUGCCUG